RNAcentral lists this ribosomal RNA (473 nucleotides) under uncultured bacterium. RNAcentral's name for it is "bacterial SSU rRNA". It matches the Rfam family "Bacterial small subunit ribosomal RNA", at positions 355 to 825 of the family's 1533-position model. The record is from RNAcentral.
UGGGGAAUAUUGCGCAAUGGGCGAAAGCCUGACGCAGCAACGCCGCGUGAGUGAUGAAGGCCUUCGGGUCGUAAAGCUCUGUCGGAGGGAACGAAUGCUCUUGAGGUUAACAGCCUCGGGAGGUGACGGUACCCUCAAAGGAAGCACCGGCUAACUACGUGCCAGCAGCCGCGGUAAUACGUAGGGACCAAGCGUUGUUCGGAUUUACUGGGCGUAAAGGGCGCGUAGGCGGCAAUUCAAGUCAUCUGUGAAAUCUCCGGGCUUAACUCGGAACGGUCAGAUGAUACUGCUUUGCUAGAGUGCAGAAGGGGCAAUCGGAAUUCUUGGUGUAGCGGUGAAAUGCGUAGAUAUCAAGAGGAACACCUGAGGUGAAGACGGGUUGCUGGGCUGACACUGACGCUGAGGCGCGAAAGCCAGGGGAGCAAACGGGAUUAGAUACCCACGUAGUCCCUGAGCGGGCUGGCAAGGCGCAU